Lotus japonicus is the source of this 2044-nucleotide long non-coding RNA. RefSeq lists it as uncharacterized. The transcript is spliced from 3 exons. The record is from RefSeq and is a predicted model, not a curated record. NCBI's taxonomy places the organism in Eukaryota, Viridiplantae, Streptophyta, Magnoliopsida, Fabales, Fabaceae.
UUAAAUGCUGAAGGUUUCGUUUAUGUAAAGGUCUUUCAGAUAUGUAUGAGUUUCUCCCUCACUAUUGCACCAUUAAAUUUAUCGAUUAGUGCUUGUCUAAAAGAUUAUGUCAAUGCCCCAUGAUAUUUGGAUAUCAAAGCAUAAAACAUACUUCUCUACAUGAGAACUUAUCUCCAAAGAUAUCUGAUUUUGGACUUGCCACGUUGAGUUCCAAGAAGAUCUUCUUCUCUCUGUGCCAAGAAGAUCUUCUUCUCUAUCUAAUGCUAAAGGGACCAUAGAGGAUAUGUAGCUCCGGAAGUGGCGAAUAAAGAUCGUUUUGAUGGAAUUUCAGAAAAAGCAUAUGUUCAUAGCUUGGUAUAGUGCUAUUAUUUCCCUCGUGUGGCAUACAAAAAGUUUGAGAGAGGCAAAAGUCUUCAAAUGAUACACCUACCAUCCGAAGUGGCUGAAAGACAGCGUGGAUUCCAUAACUAAGCCACCAAAUGAGCUCUUCUCCUAAGUCUGGAAUUUUUUCUGUAUGUAAUUCCAAUGUGACUAACUAUGACAAAAUAGUUUAAGCAUAUAUGAGAAUUAAGUGGGAAUUCCACAUUGUAAAUUAAUUUUGUUGGGAAAUAAUCUCUGUUGGGGAAGAUGCUGCAACUCUUGAAUUGAUGAAGAUCUUGAUGACAGGAGCACUUGAAGAUUCAAAGCGUGCCUAAGCACUAACCUUUAGGUUCAAUUCGCCCCCACCAAUUAAUGUAUAUUGGAUGCAAUUGAGAUAAACCGGCGAAUUCCCUUCAAGAUACUUUGAAUUCCUUGAUGUGGUUUGCACUAACACACCAAGCGUAUCUUUGAUAAUAUUUUACAGAAGUAUGAUUCACACACUUCACUCAUGCAUUAGUGAAAUGGAGGAUGAUUUGGAAUAAUGGAAAUGGAAGAGAAAUUUGUAUGAAAGAUACAAAUUUCGCACUUCUCAAUGUUCUGGUUUUUCUGCCCAAGUAUCUCUUUAUAUAGAGAUAUUAACAUCCCUUGGUGAAAAGAAAUCUUUUGGUAAAAGGUUUCUCAAAAACCCACAUAUACAAUUAAUGUUCAGAAAUAUUACCAACCAACACGUUGGUCUGCUUGGCAACGCAUCCCUUGGCAAUGCAAGUCACGCCUCGCGGGUUCAACUCCCAGGGACGUGACUUCAAAACGUAACCACCAGGAGGAUUCGAACCCGUACAACAUAUGUGUCAUAGCAUGAUGACUACUAGGGGUGUACAAGACCCGGCCCUACCAGCCAACCUGUCCCGACCCAAUCAAUAAAAGAGACCGGGUUCGGGUUGAUCUUAGAGUUACCCGACUUCGGAUAGGGUCGGGUUCGGGUUGACACUCGGGUCACCCGACCCGUCCCACAUAUAUAUUUUAUAAAAUUUUAAUUUAUUAUAAUGAUUAAAAUGUAUACAUGGUGCUCAAAUUUAUCUUAUCAUGUGGAUGAGAAUAAAAUGUUUAACAUCUACCUUAUGAAUUCGUUGAUCAAACUAUGGAUACUUUCAUGCUCUAACAAGAGAAAAUCAUUUGUGUAUUAUGCACAUGUGAGACAAGUGAAGAUAUGAAAGAAUUUGAUCCUUUCAAGUUCUUUUUUCCAAAAAAUAGUUCCAACUUAUAACUCUUUUAAUAUGUUAUUAUCUUUAAAUUUUACAAUUAGUAUCAAAUAAUCUUAGACUUAUUGUCCAUCGGGCCAACCCGGUCCCGUCCUACAUAGGCCCGUCCUAAAUUGGACCCGCAUAAUGUCGGGUUGCUUCGGGUCUAGGGACGGGUUAGGGUCUAUGAAUUGACCCGUUAAAUAUUUAGGGUCGGGUUAGGGUUAACCAAAACCCGUCCCAACCCGUCCCUUGUACACCCCUAAUGACUACCCAUUGGACCAUCUUACUAUAUUGAUAUAUUCUCAAACAUAAAUAAUAUAACCAAUAAUCAAAUACAUAUUUCCAAGUUUACAUAUUUUGGAAAUAUUUCUCACAAAUUUUUCCAUUGUAUCUUUGACAUGACAAUGACAGAUACUCUAGUUUAUUGUUAGCAUCCAAUCUUU